This 418-nucleotide ribosomal RNA is filed under the name Enterococcus hirae. RNAcentral's name for it is "bacterial SSU rRNA". It matches the Rfam family "Bacterial small subunit ribosomal RNA", at positions 29 to 425 of the family's 1533-position model. The record is from RNAcentral. Lineage: Bacteria; Bacillati; Bacillota; Bacilli; Lactobacillales; Enterococcaceae.
ACGAACGCUGGCGGCGUGCCUAAUACAUGCAAGUCGAACGCUUCUUUUUCCACCGGAGCUUGCUCCACCGGAAAAAGAGGAGUGGCGAACGGGUGAGUAACACGUGGGUAACCUGCCCAUCAGAAGGGGAUAACACUUGGAAACAGGUGCUAAUACCGUAUAACAAUCGAAACCGCAUGGUUUUGAUUUGAAAGGCGCUUUCGGGUGUCGCUGAUGGAUGGACCCGCGGUGCAUUAGCUAGUUGGUGAGGUAACGGCUCACCAAGGCGACGAUGCAUAGCCGACCUGAGAGGGUGAUCGGCCACAUUGGGACUGAGACACGGCCCAAACUCCUACGGGAGGCAGCAGUAGGGAAUCUUCGGCAAUGGACGAAAGUCUGACCGAGCAACGCCGCGUGAGUGAAGAAGGUUUUCGGAUCG